RNAcentral lists this ribosomal RNA (118 nucleotides) under Pteropus alecto (black flying fox). The record is from RNAcentral. Lineage: Eukaryota; Metazoa; Chordata; Mammalia; Chiroptera; Pteropodidae.
GUCUACAGCCAUGCCACUCAGAACUCGCCUUAUCUCUUCUGAUCUCGGAAGCUAAGCAGGGUUGGGCCUGGUUAGUACUUGGAUGGAAGACCACCUAGGAAUACCAGGUGCUGAGAGA